AAUCUCUAAAAAAGACUUAUUUUAGAAACAGAUGGAGUAUAUAUUUCGGGCAACGUAAUGGACUCCGCAGAGUGCGACUUUAAGAGCACAGAUCGUAACAACUUCAAAGUUUAAGUACAUUUCCAAUAACAUUACACAAAGUGGUACUUGUGUGUUACACUGUAUUGUACAGAUACCUGCAUGUAGGGCCACCGCAAAGAUGCCGAACAACAUGUAUUAUUCUAAUCUGCGCCCUCCAUCUCAUAAUAUACGAGCAUUUUUUUACACAAGUUACACAAGGAUGCACGCUUAGAUUUUUUUGAUAAAGAUGCACACUUAGAUGUGUGUUGGAGGAAGAAAAGACCUGCACGUACGGAGCGAUGGAUCAACGGGUCAUCCCUGGGUGCAUGAGGGGUGGCAUGGUUGCCGGAGUGCGCCCUUGCCUCUCCAUGUUGGCGUGCCAUCCUGCAGAGGUACGUCGAUGAGCCAAUCAUGCAUGUUAGCACAUAACUAUUGGUCCGCUCCGGUUAGUACUACAUACGAUAACGUUAGCAGGUGAUGUGAUGUGAUGUGAGGUGAGGUGAGGUGAGUACCGAGGUUCAUGUCGAAGCCUCUCUUCUUGAGCUCGCGGUACUCCUGGCAGAGCGCGCAUGGCUCGCAGCACCAGUGGAUGCAGCAGUCGGCGCAGGGGCUCUCCUGCAGGCCGUAGUGGGCGCGCAUCUUGGCGCGGUAGAAGCAGGAGUAGACGCACUGGCAGCCCGUGAGGCACAUGAUGAGCGCGUAGAGCGCGCCGCUCGCCCCGCACGACGUCGACCCGCGGUCGAUGAUCUCCGCGAUCUGCCCGAAGGUCACGCACGGGCACAGGCACGUCACGCAGCAGUUGCUGCAGUCGUCGAAGCAGUCGCACAGCCCCGUCGACCACGCCGCCAGCGGCGCCUGCGCCUGCAUCGCGAACGCCGCCGUCGCCGCGCCCGCUCCCGGAGCAUGGUAGUACGCGCUCGGGCCGCGCCCGCCCGUGCCGCCGCCGCCGCUCAUCGGGAAGCCCGUCGCCGGACCGUCCUCCGGCUUCGGGUACAUGGUGAGGCUGAGCGAUGGAUGAUGGCCUUGGACCUCUUCCGGACCGGCGGGCGAGGCGUAUAUAUGGAUUACUGGCUGCCUGAUCGACGACGACGCAGGCAGCACAACACGCGAUGAUAACCAUGCACACAGUCCACCAGUGCAGUGUGUGGCUCGCGUCGACUGCUGCGUUGCCAUGGCAACGACAGCGCGAGCGCGCCGGCCCUAUGCAUUUCCAAGAAACUACGCAGAACGUGCCCUGUAAUCUACGGGUGUUGGUCUGGCGCGAGGAGUGAAGACUGGAGACUCAGGGCAUGAGCCGGGGGAGACCGGAGAUGGAGACGUGGUGGUGGUGGGGGCGUCGUGGCGUGGACAGGGGAUGCAUGCACUGCACUGAU
RNAcentral lists this long non-coding RNA (1433 nucleotides) under Hordeum vulgare. RNAcentral describes it as "long non-coding RNA (HVUL_LNC002326)". Lineage: Eukaryota; Viridiplantae; Streptophyta; Magnoliopsida; Poales; Poaceae. The record is from RNAcentral.